This 253-nucleotide ribosomal RNA is filed under the name uncultured bacterium. RNAcentral's name for it is "partial 16S ribosomal RNA". It matches the Rfam family "Bacterial small subunit ribosomal RNA", at positions 524 to 776 of the family's 1533-position model. The record is from RNAcentral.
UACAGAGGUGGCAAGCGUUGUUCGGAAUUACUGGGCGUAAAGGGCGCGUAGGCGGCCUUCUAAGUCAGACGUGAAAUCCCCCGGCUUAACCUGGGAACUGCGUCUGAUACUGGAGGGCUUGAGUAUGGGAGAGGGAUGUAGAAUUCCAGGUGUAGCGGUGAAAUGCGUAGAUAUCUGGAGGAAUACCGGUGGCGAAGGCGGCAUCCUGGACCAUUACUGACGCUGAGGCGCGAAAGCGUGGGGAGCAAACGGG